CAAUAGCGUAUAUUAAAGUUGUUGCGGUUAAAAAGCUCGUAGUUGGAUUUCUGUUGAGGACGGCCGGUCCGCACUAUGUGCGUGUAUCUGGUUCGGCCUCGGCAUCCUCUCGAAAGCCGUUUCUGCGCUUGAUUGCGUGGUUCGGACUUCGGGACUUUUACUUUGAGGAAAUUAGAGUGUUCACGGCAGGCAAGCGCCUUGAAUAUAUUAGCAUGGAAUAAUAAUAUAGGAUCUUGGUCCUAUUUUGUUGGUUUCUAGGGCUAAGAUAAUGAUUAAUAGGGACAAUUGGGGGCAUUCGUAUUAACGCGUCAGAGGUGGAAUUCUUGGAUCGCGUUACGACGAACUACUGCGAAAGCAUUUGCCAAGGAUGUUUUCAUUGA
This 380-nucleotide ribosomal RNA is filed under the name uncultured eukaryote. RNAcentral's name for it is "partial 18S ribosomal RNA". It matches the Rfam family "Eukaryotic small subunit ribosomal RNA", at positions 592 to 976 of the family's 1831-position model. The record is from RNAcentral.